RNAcentral lists this ribosomal RNA (410 nucleotides) under uncultured microorganism. RNAcentral's name for it is "bacterial SSU rRNA". It matches the Rfam family "Bacterial small subunit ribosomal RNA", at positions 509 to 917 of the family's 1533-position model. The record is from RNAcentral.
CAGCCGCCGCGGUAAUACGUAGGGUGCGAGCGUUAAUCGGAUUUACUGGGCGUAAAGCGUGCGCAGGCGGCCCGUUAAGACAGGUGUGAAAUCCCUGGGCUCAACCUAGGAAUUGCGCUUGUGACUGGCGGGCUCGAGUACGGUAGAAGGGGGUGGAAUUCCUGGUGUAGCAGUGAAAUGCGUAGAGAUCAGGAGGAACACCGAUGGCGAAGGCAGCCCCCUGGGCCUGUACUGACGCUCAUGCACGAAAGCGUGGGGAGCAAACAGGAUUAGAUACCCUGGUAGUCCACGCCCUAAACGAUGGGUACUAGCCGUUUGGUGCGCGAUAGCGCUGAGUGGCGAAGCUAACGCGUGAAGUACCCCGCCUGGGGAGUACGGCCGCAAGGUUGAAACUUAAAGGAAUUGGCGGG